ACGCUGGCGGCACGCCUAACACAUGCAAGUCGAACGAAGUAGCAAUACUUAGUGGCAGACGGGUGAGUAACAUGUGGGUAUCUGCCCUUUGGCCUGGAAUAACACGAGGAAACUUGUGCUAAUACCGGAUAAGUCUUUACGGAGAAAGCUUUAUGCACCAUUGGAUGAGCCUGCACUUGAUUAGUUUGUUGGUGGGGUAAUGGCCUACCAAGACUGUGAUCAAUAGCUGAUUUGAGAGGAUGAUCAGCCACAUUGGGACUGAGACACGGCCCAAACUCCUACGGGAGGCAGCAGUGGGGAAUCUUGCACAAUGGAGGAAACUCUGAUGCAGCGAUGCCGCGUGAGUGAAGAAGGCCCUUGGGUUGUAAAGCUCUUUCGUCGGGGAAGAAAAUGACUGUACCCGAAUAAGAAGGUCCGGCUAACUUCGUGCCAGCAGCCGCGGUAAUACGAAGGGACCUAGCGUAGUUCGGAAUUACUGGGCUUAAAGAGUUCGUAGGUGGUUGAAAAAGUUAGUGGUGAAAUCCCAGAGCUUAACUCUGGAACUGCCAUUAAAACUUUUCAGCUAGAGUAUGAUAGAGGAAAGCAGAAUUUCUAGUGUAGAGGUGAAAUCCGUAGAUAUUAGAAAGAAUACCAAUUGCGAAGGCAGCUUUCUGGAUCAUUACUGACACUGAGGAACGAAAGCAUGGGUAGCGAAGAGGAUUAGAUACCCUCGUAGUCCAUGCCGUAAACGAUGUGUGUUAGACGUUGGAAAUUUAUUUUCAGUGUCGCAGCGAAAGCGAUAAACACACCGCCUGGGGAGUACGACCGCAAGGUUAAAACUCAAAUGAAUUGACGGGGACCCGCACAAGUAGUGGAGCAUGUGGUUUAAUUCGAAGAUACGCGCAGAACCUUACCAACACUUGACAUGUUCGUCGCGACUUUAAGAGAUUAAAGUUUUCGGUUCGGCCGGACGAAACACAGGUGCUGCAUGGCUGUCGUCAGCUCGUGUCGUGAGAUGUUGGGUUAAGUCCCGCAACGAGCGCAACCCUCACUUUUAGUUGCCAUCAUUAAGUUGGGCACUCUGAAAGAACCGCCAGUGAUAAGCUGGAGGAAGGUGGGGAUGACGUCAAGUCCUCAUGGCCCUUACGUGUUGGGCUACACACGUGCUACAAUGGUAUCUACAACAGGAAGCAAGACUGCGAGGUCAAGCAAAUCCUUAAAAGAUACCUCAGUUCGGAUUGCACUCUGCAACUCGAGUGCAUGAAGCUGGAAUUACUAGUAAUCGUGGAUCAGCGUGCCACGGUGAAUGCGUUCCCGGGUCUUGUACACACCGCCCGUCACACCAUGGGAGUUGGUUCUACCUUAAGGCAAGGUUUCAAACCCUUGACCACGGUAUAGUCAGCGACUGGGGUG
Molecule: ribosomal RNA, 1392 nt
Filed under: uncultured marine bacterium
Lineage: Bacteria
Description: 16S ribosomal RNA
Rfam family: Bacterial small subunit ribosomal RNA
Source: RNAcentral